AGCUCAAAUUUGAAAUCUGGCUUCGGCCCGAGUUGUAAUUUGCAGAGGAUGUUUCUGGCGCGGUGCCUUCCGAGUUCCCUGGAACGGGACGCCACAGAGGGUGAGAGCCCCGUAUGGUUGGAUACUAAGCCUGUGUGAAACUCCUUCAACGAGUCGAGUAGUUUGGGAAUGCUGCUCAAAAUGGGAGGUAAAUCUCUUCUAAAGCUAAAUAUUGGCCAGAGACCGAUAGCGCACAAGUAGAGUGAUCGAAAGAUGAAAAGCACCUUGAAAAGGGGGUUAAACAGUACGUGAAAUUGUUGAAAGGGAAGCGCUCAUGACCAGACUUGUGCUGGGCAGCUCAUCCGGGGUUCUCCCCGGUGCACUCUGCCCAGUUCAGGCCAGCAUCGAUUUUUGCUGGGGGAUAAGAACGGUAGGAACGUGGCCCUCCUUCGGGUGGGUGUUAUAGCCUACCGUACGAUACCCUGGUGGAGAUCGAGGUUCGCGCAUCUGCAAGGAUGCUGGCGUAAUGGUCAUCAGCGACCCGUCUUGAAACACGGACCAAGGAGUCGUCCAUUAGAGCGAGCGUUUGGGUGUAAAACCCGCACGCGUAAUGAAAGUGAAAUUAGGUGAGAGCUUCGGCGCAUCAUCGACCGAUCCUGAUGUUCUCGGAUGGAUUUGAGUAAGAGUUUUAACGGACGGACCCGAAAGACAGUGAACUAUGCUUGUAUAGGGUGAAGCCAGAGGAAACUCUGGUGGAGGCUCGCAGCGGUUCUGACGUGCAAAUCGAUCGUCAAAUAUGAGCAUGGGGGCGAAAGACUAAUCGAACUGUCUAGUAGCUGGUUACCGCCGAAGUUUCCCUCAGGAU
This 844-nucleotide ribosomal RNA is filed under the name Coniella granati. RNAcentral's name for it is "partial large subunit ribosomal RNA". It matches the Rfam family "Eukaryotic large subunit ribosomal RNA", at positions 106 to 979 of the family's 3401-position model. The record is from RNAcentral. Lineage: Eukaryota; Fungi; Ascomycota; Sordariomycetes; Diaporthales; Schizoparmaceae.